Molecule: non-coding RNA, 32 nt
Filed under: Homo sapiens (human)
Lineage: Eukaryota; Metazoa; Chordata; Mammalia; Primates; Hominidae
Source: RNAcentral
UGGGUNUACUGUGUAGGCAGCCAUGUGGCCUU